Molecule: ribosomal RNA, 392 nt
Filed under: uncultured bacterium
Lineage: Bacteria
Description: partial 16S ribosomal RNA
Rfam family: Bacterial small subunit ribosomal RNA
Source: RNAcentral
AUACGUAGGACGCGAGCGUUAUCCGGAUUCAUUGGGUUUAAAGGGAGCGUAGGCGGGAGCUUAAGUCAGCGGUUAAAUGAUGCGGCUCAACCGUGCCCUGCCGUUGAAACUGGGUUUCUUGAGAGUGCAAGAGGCGGAUGGAAUUCAUGGUGUAGCGGUGAAAUGCUUAGAUAUCAUGAAGAACUCCGAUUGCGAGGGCAGGCCGCUGGGGCCCGUCAGACGCUGAUGCUCGAAGGUGCGGGAAUCAAACAGGAUUAGAUACCCUGGUAGUCCGCACGGUAAACGAUGAUUACCCGAUGUAGGCGGUAGACAGUCGGCGGCCAAGCGAAAGCGAUAAGUAAUCCACCUGGGGAGUACGCCGGCAACGGUGAAACUCAAAGGAAUUGACGGGG